Molecule: unclassified non-coding RNA, 156 nt
Filed under: uncultured fungus
Lineage: Eukaryota; Fungi
Description: sequence contains ITS1
Source: RNAcentral
UUGACAUUUGUUUUCUACAGACAAUAAAGUCUCGAUGGAGCAUAAAGACGACGCCUCUCGGCGCCGAAGCACAUCUUGUGUCCACAGUGGUUUGAGGGUAAGAAGAUCAAGGAUGAUCAUUCGUUAAUGAUCCCUCCGCAGGUUCACCUACGGAGA